UGGGGAAUAUUGCACAAUGGGGGAAACCCUGAUGCAGCGACGCCGCGUGAGUGAAGAAGUAUUUCGGUACGUAAAGCUCUAUCAGCAGGGAAGAAAAGGAACUAAAGUUCCCAUGACGGUACCUGACUAAGAAGCCCCGGCUAACUACGUGCCAGCAGCCGCGGUAAUACGUAGGGGGCAAGCGUUAUCCGGAUUUACUGGGUGUAAAGGGAGCGUAGACGGCAGCGCAAGUCUGAAGUGAAAUGCCGGGGCCCAACCCCGGAACUGCUUUGGAAACUGUGCAGCUUGAGUGCGGGAGAGGUAAGUGGAAUUCCUAGUGUAGCGGUGAAAUGCGUAGAUAUUAGGAGGAACACCAGUGGCGAAGGCGGCUUACUGGACCGUAACUGACGUUGAGGCUCGAAAGCGUGGGGAGCAAACAGG
Molecule: ribosomal RNA, 420 nt
Filed under: uncultured bacterium
Lineage: Bacteria
Description: bacterial SSU rRNA
Rfam family: Bacterial small subunit ribosomal RNA
Source: RNAcentral